CCAUUAUUUUAUCGAACUUCAUAGCCCUCAAGUAUGAAAAUCAAGAAACAAUCUAAUAUUUCUUAGUGGGGUUGAGAUCCAUAUUUCUCACAAACACCUUGUGGAUAGCACAAUAAGCAUUCAUGAGUUCAAGGAUAGGUAACUCUUUACCAAUUGUACUUUACAAUUCUUAAUAUCAUUCACUUUGGCUUCUAGAUUUAUAUAGUCUUAUGG
RNAcentral lists this long non-coding RNA (213 nucleotides) under Elaeis guineensis (African oil palm). RNAcentral's name for it is "long non-coding RNA (EGUI_LNC057691)". Lineage: Eukaryota; Viridiplantae; Streptophyta; Magnoliopsida; Arecales; Arecaceae. The record is from RNAcentral.